This 866-nucleotide long non-coding RNA is filed under the name Vigna radiata. RNAcentral describes it as "long non-coding RNA (VRAD_LNC004186)". The record is from RNAcentral. Lineage: Eukaryota; Viridiplantae; Streptophyta; Magnoliopsida; Fabales; Fabaceae.
UUCACUCCAUUGAUACUCUGAUUAGCUUGAAAUCCUUGCUUUUCUUUGCUUGGAAGAUGAUUAUGACGUUUGAGAGUUGAAUUGAUUGUGACAGAAAUGCCCUGUGUGAGAUUUGAGCCACUUGAUGUUCUUUCUUGUGUGAUAUGUCUCUUGAUUGCUUGCACAUAUGCCUUGGCUUGACUCUUGUUGAUGAUUCUUGAUUGAUAUGCAUGUUUGGAAGUGAUAAAGGCAGUUUUGUUGUUGAGCCUCUCUAGACAGAUGAGCCUACCUUGUUGUGAUCCCUUGAUAACCCCUUUUGAGCCUAUUCUUUCCCCAUUUCUUUAUUUUGAAGCUGAUACACUAGCCCUAAGUGAAAAACCAUGAUUACCUUAACCUUAGGGAAUUUUGGAGCUUUGAAAUUGUUUUGGGAAUAAGUGUGGUCUCCUGGGAGAUUAAGAUGAACUGGCUAGAUUGGUUCCUCUUCUUGUUUGUGUUUUUAUAAAUACAUGGUGUAUCUUGUCUCUUAGAGUUAUGUCAAAUAUUGAGAGAAAAGAAAAGAGACAAGAUGAAAAAAAAAAGAGAAAAAAAAAAUACAGAAAAAUGAGAAAAAUUAAAAAAAAAUGUGAAUAACGGAGUCAAGAAGAGGAUUGAAUUAGAGGGUUUUAGGUGUGGUUUGAUUGUGUUUCACUUGUUCCCCAUUGCUCCUCUAUUCCUUUUGGUUUGUAGCUUCUCAUCCAUAUUAUAUCCUCCCUUGUCCUUGGCCCCAUUUCAACCAUGAAAAGACCUUUUGAUUUGAACAUGCAUAUGUUUUAAGUGUAGAUAUUAGAGGCUUGCCAAGUCUGUUUGUGUUUGCUUUCUUGAGUACAUUGAGUUGACAUAGCUUACCC